AUUGAACGCUGGCGGCAGGCCUAACACAUGCAAGUCGAGCGGAUGAAGGGAGCUUGCUCCUGGAUUCAGCGGCGGACGGGUGAGUAAUGCCUAGGAAUCUGCCUGGUAGUGGGGGAUAACGUCCGGAAACGGGCGCUAAUACCGCAUACGUCCUGAGGGAGAAAGUGGGGGAUCUUCGGACCUCACGCUAUCAGAUGAGCCUAGGUCGGAUUAGCUAGUUGGUGGGGUAAAGGCCUACCAAGGCGACGAUCCGUAACUGGUCUGAGAGGAUGAUCAGUCACACUGGAACUGAGACACGGUCCAUACUCCUAAGGGAGGCAGCAGUGGGGAAUAUUGGACAAUGGGCGAAAGCCUGAUCCAGCCAUGCCGCGUGUGUGAAGAAGGUCUUCGGAUUGUAAAGCACUUUAAGUUGGGAGGAAGGGCAGUAAGUUAAUACCUUGCUGUUUUGACGUUACCAACAGAAUAAGCACCGGCUAACUUCGUG
RNAcentral lists this ribosomal RNA (484 nucleotides) under uncultured bacterium. RNAcentral's name for it is "partial 16S ribosomal RNA". It matches the Rfam family "Bacterial small subunit ribosomal RNA", at positions 30 to 507 of the family's 1533-position model. The record is from RNAcentral.